This 517-nucleotide ribosomal RNA is filed under the name uncultured Glomus. RNAcentral's name for it is "SSU rRNA". It matches the Rfam family "Eukaryotic small subunit ribosomal RNA", at positions 569 to 1088 of the family's 1831-position model. The record is from RNAcentral. Lineage: Eukaryota; Fungi; Glomeromycota; Glomeromycetes; Glomerales; Glomeraceae.
AGCAGCCGCGGUAAUUCCAGCUCCAAUAGCGUAUAUUAAAGUUGUUGCAGUUAAAAAGCUCGUAGUUGAAUUUCGGGGUCAGUAGGCUGGUCGUGCCACAGGUAUGUACUGGUCUUACUGAUUCCUCCUUCCUGAUGAACCGUAAUGCCAUUAAUUUGGUGUUGCGGGGAAUCUGGACUGUUACUUUGAAAAAAUUAGAGUGUUUAAAGCAGGCUAACGCUUGAAUACAUUAGCAUGGAAUAAUGAAAUAGGACGAUCGAUCCUAUUUUGUUGGUUUCUAGGAUUGACGUAAUGAUUAAUAGGGAUAGUUGGGGGCAUUAGUAUUCAAUUGUCAGAGGUGAAAUUCUUGGAUUUAUUGAAGACUAACUACUGCGAAAGCAUUUGCCAAGGAUGUUUUCAUUAAUCAAGAACGAAAGUUAGGGGAUCGAAGACGAUCAGAUACCGUCGUAGUCUUAACCAUAAACUACGCCGACUAGGGAUCGGAUGAUGUUAAUUUUUAAUGACUCAUUCGGCGCCG